RNAcentral lists this long non-coding RNA (568 nucleotides) under Chloebia gouldiae (Gouldian finch). RNAcentral's name for it is "Erythrura gouldiae (Gouldian finch) lncRNA (ENSEGOG00005002864.1)". The record is from RNAcentral. Lineage: Eukaryota; Metazoa; Chordata; Aves; Passeriformes; Passeridae.
GCGGGGGCGGUAACGGGCGGGACGCGGCCGGCGCCUUCCCGGGGCGCGUCAUUCCGCCGUGCCGGCGGGUCCCGCGUGUCCCAGGGCGCCGUGACUGCGAGCCUCAAACGGCAGCUGCUUUCCUUUCCUGCACCUCCUCCUUUGUUUCAGCCGAAAGGGAGAUAGAUAGUGAGAAAACAUUGUAGCUCGAUGUCUGUCCCUCCUUCUUCCCAGCUAAUCCCUCAUCUGGAGGAUAGAGGAGGCGUGUCCUGCCAUGUCACUUAGCACUUCACCUGACUGCCAGAGGUUUCCAAGUAUGGCUUGGCAACAACAUCAGUUCCCUCAGGACCCUGGGAUGCAUCUCAUCAGGCCGUAAUAGACUUGUGGCUAUUCAGUUUAAUCAGGUGGUCUUGAACCUGUUCUUCACUUUACAGUGCGAGAGACUUCAUCCCCAUUUUGCACCAUGCUGCUUGUUAAUGAAUGUAGUCUUUGUCCUUUUAAUCUCUCCUUAAAGCUAUCUUAAAAAAAAACAAACUUAUUUUGAAUUUCUGUUUUGUGGCCCAAACUGCAUGUUGUAAUGCAAUAAAAA